This 658-nucleotide non-coding RNA is filed under the name Pan troglodytes (chimpanzee). Lineage: Eukaryota; Metazoa; Chordata; Mammalia; Primates; Hominidae. The record is from RNAcentral.
CCCAAAAUGCUGGGAUUACAAGCAUGAACCACUGUGACUUGCCUUCUUGGCCAUUUUAAAUGAAAGAAGAUGGAAUAAUGCCUACUGAGGACUAUGUUUGAGGGGUGUUGUAUGACCCCGUUUUCCAUACCCAGCCAACUUGUCAUGUGACAAGUCCACAGAAAGAUGUUAUAUGGCCAGGAAUCUAUGAACUAGUCUUCCCUGAAAUGUACCUGACUACAGCUAACAUCAUAUCACAUGAUGAAAGACCGCGUUGUUUUCCCCUGAGGUUGGCGGUGCAGGAAGACGUACGUGAAAUAAUUCAUGGAAAAGUCACAGUGGCCUUGAAGUUUUCCAGAUAACAAUGAAAAACUACGUUAAGAUGCUAUUUUUCAACAAAAUUCAUUUUACCAACCUCAAAACGUAUUUCCUCCGAAGAAGAUACGCACUGACAAACAACACCCGAGUGUGGCAUGCUAGCAGGAGCACUAGGCUGGGAGUCAAGAGACUUAAAUUCCACCCGGAAGCCACCACAUGACCUUGGCAUGAGCCCGUCACCAGGCUCCUCAGCCUCCUCAUCGCAGCCCCAGGGAUUUCCCAAGCCCUCCGGAAAUACUGUAACUUGACAACAAUGGAGAAAGACUUUCACCCAUGCGGUUGGAAUGCUAGCCUUAAAAAA